AGGCACGACUUUUUCGCCAUAAAACUUGGCUGAUCUGCUCCGCGCCACUCAUCGAACAUCGGAGAGAUGCGCGCGGGCGGCGGCGCGCCUCCCCGACACGCACCACUCUCCCCGACCGCCUCCGCCACUGCCACGCUAGUACCCGCUUCUGUCGCCAUGCCCACGCCGCGCCUCGUACACCUCCGCCACCUCCUCUCAUUCCGCUCCGCCCUUCCCCGCCCGCUGGGUCCCAACCAAAGCCACCCGCUCCCCGGGUCGGUUCACCCGUCCCUUCUCCUCCCCCGUGCCAUGGCUGGUGUCGCAUACGCAGGUCUGGCGACGGGGUCGGCGGAAUACGAGGAGGUGCUCGGGUGCCUCGCGUCGCUGAUAACGCAGAAGGUGCGCGCGGACACCGGCAACCGCGGCAACCAGUGGGAGCUCAUGUCCAAGUACGUCCAGAUACUGGAACUGGAGGAAUCCAUCGCGCAGUUGAAAGUGGUUCACGUUGCUGGGACCAAAGGGAAGGGUUCAACAUGCACAUUUGCUGAGUCAAUCCUUCGAUCAUGUGGUUUCCACACUGGGCUCUUCACUUCACCACAUUUGAUGGAUGUCCGCGAGCGAUUUCGGCUUGAUGGGCUGGACAUUUCAGAAGAAAAGUUUAUUAGGUAUUUCUGGUGGUGCUGGAAGACACUGAAGGACAAGACUGGUGAUGGUGUACCGAUGCCGGCCUACUUUAGGUUCCUUGCACUGCUAGCAUUCAAGAUCUUUUCAGAUGAGCAGGUGGAUGUCGUAGUGCUCGAGGUUGGUUUGGGAGGGAAGUAUGAUGCAACAAAUGUGGUCAGAGCACCUGUAGUUUGUGGAAUAACAUCCCUUGGGUAUGAUCAUAUGGAAAUUCUUGGAAACACACUUGGAGAAAUUACUAGAGAGAAGGCUGGGAUACUGAAGAAAGGAGUUCCAGCGUAUACAGUUCCACAGCCAGAAGAGGCAAUGUCUGUACUGAUGAAGCGAGCUACUGAAUUGGGUGUUUCUCUUCAAGUUGUCCACCCUUUGGACCCACAGAAAUUAGAGGAUCAACCUCUUGGACUCCAUGGUGAGCACCAAUACAUGAAUGCAGGUCUUGCAAUUGCAUUGGCUAAUACCUGGCUUGAGAGGCAAGGCCAUUUGAACAGAUUACAUGUCAAACAUUCUGGUACCUUGCCAGAUCAGUUCAUCAAAGGGCUGUCGAGUGCUUGUCUGCAAGGUCGAGGACAGAUUAUUCCAAAUUCACAAGUGAACUCAGAAAAUGAUCGUGAUUCUUCAUUGGUUUUCUAUUUGGAUGGGGCACAUAGCUCAGAAAGCAUGGAAAUGUGUGCAAGAUGGUUUGCCCACGCUACAAAUAGUGAUGGAAUACAGCCAGGUCCUUCGGAGCAGCCUCACACUGAUAGGGAUUCCAGGAAGUUUCUCCUUUUCAAUUGCAUGACUGUAAGAGAUCCUCAGAGAUUGCUCCCACGUCUUCUAGAUACAUGUGCUCAAAAUGUUACUCACGUGUAAUGAUGUCUGGACUCUGGAGAAAAUACAAGAUUCCCCUAUAACCAAUGCUGAUAUGGAUAUCACGUAGAAAAUGUCCUUUGUUCCAAUGGGUGGCUGGUUUUCCAACGAGUGGCUAGUUAACCAGCUGGUUAAGUAGUGCAUGAACUAGCUGCCAUACUCUGCAUUUGCUUGCUCUUCAAGACCAAUUUACUUAUAUCAUGAGUUGCAUGAAUGCUCCUGUUGGUCUUAUAAUAUUAGUAACCAUUUUUCUCAGGUCUCCACUUUGAGCAUGCCUUAUUUGUGCCAAACCAAUCACAGUACAACAAGCUUGGAUCCCUUGCAUCCCCACCUUCAGAGCGUGAACAAAUUGAUUUGUCAUGGCAGUUGUCGCUUCAAAAGGUGUGGGGAAACCUGCCUCAUCACAAUAAAGGUCUAAAUGAUGUAAACUCUAGCGGAGCUACCUCGGUUUUUGAAUCUCUUCCAUUGGCAAUUAAAUGGCUAAGGGAAACUGCUCAACAAAAUCAAUCGAUUCAGUUUCAGGUCUUAGUUACCGGCUCGCUGCACCUUGUCGGCGAUGUCUUAAGAUUGCUCAAGAACAAUAAGUAACUUCAUUUGGAAUGGCACAUUGUUCAGAUUGAACUGGCUGCCUACGGACCACUAAGGCACUAACUGGAGCUUAUCGAAAUUUGUGAUUGGGAUAGCACAACAUACCAACUUGGUUACAAGGCUGGAAGAAAUUGAAAGACAUUUUUAUUUCAGUUCCAAUCAGCGGUAAAAUUGUUGUAUUUAAUCGUUUCUUUAAGUUCCUGGCGUUAUGUGCCAUCACAUCCUCACUCCAGAAGGAUGUAACCAAUUUUUAGAAUGUACAAUUAGUGGAUUCUCAGCGACACAUCUUUGUAUGAUUGGUGGACGGGUCUGCGUAGCCUUUGCAACAGACAAUCAAGAAGACGCUUUGACGGCCUGCUAAUUCAUUUUUGGUGGAAUUUAUGGCUGGAACGAAAUAACAGAAUUUUCCAAAGUCAGCAUAGAAGCGUUAAUCAAGUGGCCCUUGCAGUCAUCAGAUAUUGCUAGUAGCUGAGGUCUUGUUGAUCUGGUCUAGUGGGUUUUUGUUCUUCUCCUUUUAUUUUUUCUUUUUUACCCUCUCCCCUCCGGUUCUCUGGUUUUGUAUCUUCCAUUUCUUUGCUCUCUAAUCUAAUAUAUUUCGGAGUGGCAAGUCUUUUGCCCCUUCCUUUCAAAAAAAAAAAAACAAUUAGUGGAUUAUAUUAUAUCAAUCAUAUUAUUUAUU
Molecule: RNA transcript, 2773 nt
Organism: Zea mays
Lineage: Eukaryota; Viridiplantae; Streptophyta; Magnoliopsida; Poales; Poaceae
Gene name: folylpolyglutamate synthase
Exons: 16
Source: RefSeq, marked validated